RNAcentral lists this ribosomal RNA (272 nucleotides) under uncultured prokaryote. Its description in RNAcentral is "partial 16S ribosomal RNA". It matches the Rfam family "Bacterial small subunit ribosomal RNA", at positions 524 to 796 of the family's 1533-position model. The record is from RNAcentral.
GACGGAGGAUGCAAGCGUUAUCCGGAAUUAUUGGGCGUAAAGCGUCCGCAGGUGGCAUUUCAAGUCUGCUGUCAAAGACCGGGGCUUAACCCCAGAAAGGCAGUGGAAACUGAAAAGCUAGAGAUAGGUAGGGGCAGAGGGAAUUCCCAGUGUAGCGGUGAAAUGCGUAGAGAUUGGGAAGAACACCGGUGGCGAAAGCGCUCUGCUGGGCCUUAUCUGACACUCAGGGACGAAAGCUAGGGGAGCGAAUGGGAUUAGAAACCCGGUAGUCC